RNAcentral lists this transfer RNA (73 nucleotides) under Stegodyphus mimosarum. It matches the Rfam family "tRNA". Rfam says of the family: Transfer RNA (tRNA) molecules are approximately 80 nucleotides in length. Their secondary structure includes four short double-helical elements and three loops (D, anti-codon, and T loops). Lineage: Eukaryota; Metazoa; Arthropoda; Arachnida; Araneae; Eresidae. The record is from Rfam by way of RNAcentral.
GCCUCCGUGGUGUAGUAGUCAGCACGCUCGAUGUGCAUUCGAGAGGCCCGUGGUUCGAGUCCCACUGAGGGCA